Molecule: ribosomal RNA, 301 nt
Filed under: uncultured bacterium
Lineage: Bacteria
Description: partial 16S ribosomal RNA
Rfam family: Bacterial small subunit ribosomal RNA
Source: RNAcentral
CAGUCGCCACGGGAAUACGAAGGGUGCAAGCGUUAAUCGGAAUUACUGGGCGUAAAGCGUGCGUAGGCGGUGAGUUAAGUCUGCUGUGAAAUCCCCGGGCUCAACCUGGGAAUGGCAGUGGAUACUGGCUCGCUAGAGUGUGUCAGAGGAUGGUGGGAUUCCCGGUGUAGCGGUGAAAUGCGUAGAGAUCGGGAGGAACAUCAGUGGCGAAGGCGGCCAUCUGGGACAACACUGACGCUGAGGCACGAAAGCGUGGGGAGCAAACAGGAUUAGAUACCCCCGUAGUCCCUGUCUCUUAUAC